CUAUAGGGUCAGGAAUACAUGUUUGCUGUUUUCUGUUGUGAUCCUGUAAAGACAGUCUUUACAGGAUCACAACAGAAAACAGCAAACAUGUAUUCCUGACCCUAUAG
Molecule: non-coding RNA, 107 nt
Organism: Pelobates cultripes (western spadefoot toad)
Lineage: Eukaryota; Metazoa; Chordata; Amphibia; Anura; Pelobatidae
Source: the annotation of a GenBank genome assembly